ACCUUAUCAAGAGAGGCGGAGGGACUGGCCCGAUGAAGCCCGGCAACCACUGUACCCCGGUACAGAAAGGUGCCAAUUCCUGCAAAACCCGUGGGUUUUGACAGAUGAGGA
This 111-nucleotide non-coding RNA is filed under the name Bacillus sp. (in: firmicutes). Its description in RNAcentral is "Bacillus sp. SAM-I sequence". It matches the Rfam family "SAM riboswitch aptamer (S box leader)". From Rfam's summary of the family: The SAM riboswitch is found upstream of a number of genes which code for proteins involved in methionine or cysteine biosynthesis in Gram-positive bacteria. The SAM riboswitch acts at the level of transcription termination control. The record is from RNAcentral. RNAcentral also lists the same sequence under 1 other name. Lineage: Bacteria; Bacillati; Bacillota; Bacilli; Caryophanales; Bacillaceae.